Molecule: ribosomal RNA, 253 nt
Filed under: uncultured bacterium
Lineage: Bacteria
Description: partial 16S ribosomal RNA
Rfam family: Bacterial small subunit ribosomal RNA
Source: RNAcentral
UACGUAGGGGGCAAGCGUUGUCCGGAAUUAUUGGGCGUAAAGAGCGCGUAGGCGGUCCGGUAAGUCGGUUGUGAAAGUCGGGGGCUCAACCCUCGGAUGCCGAUCGAUACUGUCGGGCUAGAGUCCGGAAGAGGCGAGUGGAAUUCCUGGUGUAGCGGUGAAAUGCGUAGAUAUCAGGAGGAAUACCGGUGGCGAAAGCGACUCUCUGGACGGCAACUGACGCUGAGGCACGAAAGCGUGGGGAGCAAACAGG